GAUGAACGCUGGCGGCGUGCCUAAUACAUGCAAGUCGAGCGAACAGACGAGGAGCUUGCUCCUCUGACGUUAGCGGCGGACGGGUGAGUAACACGUGGAUAACCUACCUAUAAGACUGGGAUAACUUCGGGAAACCGGAUCUAAUACCGGAUAAUAUAUUGAACCGCAUGGUUCAAUAGUGAAAGACGGUUUUGCUGCCACUAAUAGAUGGAUCCGCGCCGCAUUAGCUAGUUGGUAAGGUAACGGCUUACCAAGGCAACGAUGCGUAACCGACCUGAGAGGGUGAUCGGCCACACUGGAACUGAGACACGGUCCAGACUCCUAAGGGAGGCAGCAGUAGGGAAUCUUCCGCAAUGGGCGAAAGCUUGACGGAGCAACGCCGCGUGAGUGAUGAAGGUCUUCGGAUCGUAAAACUCUGUUAUUAGGGAAGAACAAAUGUGUAAGUAACUAUGCACGUCUUGACGGUACCCAAUCAGAAAGCCACGGCUAACUACGUG
Molecule: ribosomal RNA, 497 nt
Filed under: uncultured bacterium
Lineage: Bacteria
Description: partial 16S ribosomal RNA
Rfam family: Bacterial small subunit ribosomal RNA
Source: RNAcentral